Molecule: ribosomal RNA, 800 nt
Filed under: uncultured soil bacterium
Lineage: Bacteria
Description: bacterial SSU rRNA
Rfam family: Bacterial small subunit ribosomal RNA
Source: RNAcentral
GAGUUUGAUCCUGGCUCAGAAUCAACGCUGGCGGCGUGCCUAACACAUGCAAGUCGAACGCGAAAGGGGCUUCGGCCCUGAGUAGAGUGGCGAACGGGUGAGUAACACGUGGGUGAUCUACCUCUGAGUGGGGGAUAACGUUCCGAAAGGAGCGCUAAUACCGCAUGACGUUCUGGGUUUGAAGACCUGGAAACCAAAGUCGGGGACCGCAAGGCCUGACGCUUGGAGAGGAGCCCGCGCCUGAUUAGCUAGUUGGUGGGGUAAUGGCCUACCAAGGCGACGAUCAGUAGCCGGCCUGAGAGGGCGGACGGCCACACUGGGACUGAGACACGGCCCAGACUCCUACGGGAGGCAGCAGUGGGGAAUUGUUCGCAAUGGGCGCAAGCCUGACGACGCAACGCCGCGUGGAGGAUGAAGGUCUUCGGAUUGUAAACUCCUGUUGAUCGGGAAGAAUGGACUUCGGAUAAAUACUCCGGAGUAGUGACGGUACCGAUUGAGGAAGCCACGGCUAACUCUGUGCCAGCAGCCGCGGUAAUACAGAGGUGGCAAGCGUUGUUCGGAAUUACUGGGCGUAAAGGGCGCGUAGGCGGUCGCCUAAGUCGGACGUGAAAUCCCCAAGCUUAACUUGGGAACUGCGUCCGAUACUGGGUGACUUGAGUUCGGGAGAGGAAUGUGGAAUUCCAGGUGUAGCGGUGAAAUGCGUAGAUAUCUGGAGGAACACCAAUGGCGAAGGCAGCCUUCUGGGCCAACACUGACGCUCAUGCACGAAAGCGUGGGGAGCAAACAGGAUUAGAUACCCU